Molecule: small nuclear RNA, 122 nt
Organism: Molossus molossus (Pallas's mastiff bat)
Lineage: Eukaryota; Metazoa; Chordata; Mammalia; Chiroptera; Molossidae
Source: RefSeq, a predicted model, not a curated record
AUGUUGUAUGAAAGGAGAGAAGGUUAGCACUCCCCUUGACAAGGAUGGAAGAGGCUCUUGAGCCUAACAACACACAUACGGAAAAGAAAAAAGUAAGAUUUGGACCCGUUCCACUGGACUUU